AAAACUUCUCAUUGACCAAUACUUAAUAAAAUAUCAACCUCAAUUUCCAUUCUUAUAAAUUUUAAAAUUUUUUUUUAACUUAAUCUUGGUUCAUGUACAUUCUUUGAUCUAUAGCUAAUCUAUGUGUGUUUUAAAAAAAUUAAAUUUAUUUUUCACUAUAUUUUUAUUAAAAAAUGUGUACAUUUAAUAUUUUGUAAUUAAAUGUUUUUAUCGCAUAAAUUCCCAAAUUUUAUCCCCUCCUCAAUUAAUAUAUUAUUUCUUUCACUAACUUCAUUAUAAUAAAUUUUGGAACCCUUAUUUGAGGGCUUUAAAUUUCACUUUUAUAAGGGUAACAUUAGAGCGCCUCAAAAUAAAAUUGAUAUUACACAAUAAAAUUUUACUACAAAAUACUCAUUCUACUCUUAUAUAUGUAAUCUGCCCUAAACAUUGAGAUUUACAAAAACAAAAUCUCAAUACAAAUAUUCUAUAAUUUACUACAAAAUAUUCACCACGCAUCAUUCUUUUAAUUUCUACAACGUAAUCCAAAAUUAACUUAGAGUUCUCGCAUUUAUAUUUCAAUAUGUUUUUGGUUGAUGUUUUAUGCACAGCAACUUUCUACCCAGUCGGAACAAAUAAAUUGAAGGUAUAGAAUAUAUAGCACUACAUCAUCUCCUAUUUUUCAUUCUAAGCAAUCAUCAUAAUCAACAUUUUACAACUUUAAUAAUUUUCCUUUUUGCUUUUCUUAUAUAACAUAGUUGAAGCAAGGUACACAACAACAGAUUCAUUUCCCUUAUUACAACUACUCCAAAUUUCUUUACUUCUCUAUUUUUAACCUUAUCAUAUUCUUAAUUUCUUUUAAUUCAGCUGAAUUAAUUCUUCUUUCCCGACCAUAUCUAAAUUUUUUAUUACUUCUAAAUAAAAUUUAUAUUAUAACCAAUAACGAAGUCAGAGAUUUUUUUUAAGGGAUUAAAACUUAAUUAUAAAAUUUUUAAGAGAUCCAAAUGUAAGUUUACAAUGUAUUAUUUAUAGUUCCAUUAUUUUUUAAGGGAUUAAAUAUAUUUUUUAUUUUUCAUAUUUAAGGGGCUAAAGUUCAGUUUUAUUAUAAAUUAAUUUACAAUUUUAUUAUUUUUAAAGAGAUUGAACUAAAAUAUUUCAUUUUUAGGGGAUUAAGGCCCUGCCAGCUAGAACUGUUCUUUGGUCAGGGCUUCCCGCCCAAAAUUUUGGAGGGUUUGAACAAAAAUAUUAGGCCUGAAAAAUGAGUUUGAGCAAAAAAAUGAGCAAAAAAAUAAGUCUGUUUAAACUUAGGCUUGAACAGUCAAUACCCAAGCCCAAUUCGACCCAUUUUUAAGUUUAUAAUACUUUAUAUUAUGUUAUUUUUAUAUAUUAUGUAAUUUAGAACACAUUAAAAAAAUAAACAUAUACUAAAUAUAUAAUAUUACUCUAAUGUAAACAUUAAAAUAAUAUUAAGAUGACUAUAUAAAAAUUCUCAAUAAAUAAAAAAUUUAUAAAUUUAUAAAAUAUUAAAAUAUUAAAAUAAAAUAAAAUAAAUUUUUUUAAAAAAUAAAAAAUAAUAUGGGCGGGCCUAAAAUGAGUUUGGGUUAGUCUUUUGCAAAUAUUGACGAAUUUGGAUAAAAUUUUAAGCCUAUAUUCAAGCCGGACUUGGACAAACGUAAAAAAUAUUAAUAUCAUUUUUAGACUCGACUCAUGAACACCUCUAUUAUCACCCCGUUAACUUCUAUAUUUCUAUUACUUCAUACUAUUUAACAAUUGAAAAUUCAGUUCAAUAUAAUUUUCAAAAUGCCUUAGCACCCAUUUUCUUUUUCAAUAAAGGUUAGUAAUUAUAUUAAAGAAAGUAUUUAUAAACAAUUUUAUUUACGUUCAUGAAGAAAAAUUAGUAUAUAAAAUGCAAUCUCCUUGAGAAAUAUAGACAAUUUUAAUAAAAUUAUUACAUAUUCAUGAUUUCAAAGACGGUAAGAAUAUACUUACUUUUCGUUUCCGUGUAAUGUUAUUCAUCAUGUGAGUUACAUAAUUUUACUACACUUAUUGCAAUUUUGAUGGUUUUUAUUUUUUCCGUUUAUCAAUUACUCUUAAAUUUUAGUAUAUUAAUUAAUAUUAAUACUUAUACUCGGAGCCACAACCAAUGCUUUAAUUAUCUUUCUCAUGUUUUAUUUAAACAUCGACAUCCAUACUUACCAUUGUUAAACUUUACGUGCAAUCUUUUAGCUAAUUUGAAAUAAAAUGAUUAUUUUAUCUCUAAUUGAUUAAAUUAAUAAUAAAUAAAUAAAAGAAUUUAAAUUCUUGUUGAACAAUUAAGUGGAGCAAUUAAAUUCUACAAUAACUCUAUUUUAUUCAAGUAAUUGACAUUAUAAAAAGGGGUCAACUAAGCCACUUUAAACUAGGGACACAAGUUCAGGAAGCCAAGAAAAUCUCUAUAGAAUUCUCUGAAGAAGCCGAAGAACUUGAAGGAAUUCUAAAGAAUAUCACAUCAAUUCUGAAGAAAAGCUGCCUUCCUAUCUAGUUCAACUGCAGAGAAGAAGCCAAAAGUCAUUUAUGGAGAAAGCCACCUUUCGAUCCAAAUCAAUUGAAGAAAGGAGGUCUAAACCUGUUUUAAGAGCAAGUCGCCAUGACAUUUGAAGCAGUCCACAUCCAUCCAAGGCCAAGUCAGGUGACCCAUGGAUCGAAGCCAAAUUGGAGAGAAGAAUCAAAUGAGGUUUUCUUUGUAUUCGAGAAAAUUUUAUAUAUUGUAACUUCCUUUCAAAGUUAUCAAUAAAUUUGACUCCAAAUUUUCAAGUCAACUUUUGACUCAAAAUUUGUGCGUACGAAUUUCUGGCACGCCUAGUAGGACAAUCUUUUCCUUUCAUCUCCUUUUGAAAAGUCAAUGUUCAAAGUUGCUAUGGCCUUAAAGAAGACCAUCAUCAGCAAGCUCACUCAAGCUAAUCUUGCAGUUUGUUUAGCUUUAUCAUCAAGCACUAAUGUCCCUACUCAUCCCUAUGACACUAAGCAAAAGAUGAAAGCUCUCAUUGAGUUAUUUGGUUAAACUUCUUCAAUGCUUAAUGACAAUUCAAUCUAUGAUUCUUCUUUACCAACGCAUGACUCAGAAGAAGUCUCUCCUCAUGAAUUAAGUGUAGCUAGCCACUUACCAUUCAAG
Molecule: long non-coding RNA, 3127 nt
Filed under: Gossypium barbadense (sea-island cotton)
Lineage: Eukaryota; Viridiplantae; Streptophyta; Magnoliopsida; Malvales; Malvaceae
Description: long non-coding RNA (GBAR_LNC017961)
Source: RNAcentral